RNAcentral lists this ribosomal RNA (497 nucleotides) under uncultured bacterium. RNAcentral's name for it is "partial 16S ribosomal RNA". It matches the Rfam family "Bacterial small subunit ribosomal RNA", at positions 28 to 507 of the family's 1533-position model. The record is from RNAcentral.
GAUGAACGCUGGCGGCGUGCCUAAUACAUGCCAGUCGAGCGAACGGACGAGAAGCUUGCUUCUCUGAUGUUAGCGGCGGACGGGUGAGUAACACGUGGAUAACCUACCUAUAAGACUGGGAUAACUUCGGGAAACCGGAGCUAAUACCGGAUAAUAUUUUGAACCGCAUGGUUCAAAAGUGAAAGACGGUCUUGCUGUCACUUAUAGAUGGAUCCGCGCUGCAUUAGCUAGUUGGUAAGGUAACGGCUUACCAAGGCAACGAUGCAUAGCCGACCUGAGAGGGUGAUCGGCCACACUGGAACUGAGACACGGUCCAGACUCCUACGGGAGGCAGCAGUAGGGAAUCUUCCGCAAUGGGCGAAAGCCUGACGGAGCAACGCCGAGUGAGUGAUGAAGGUCUUCGGAUCGUAAAACUCUGUUAUUAGGGAAGAACAUAUGUGUAAGUAACUGUGCACAUCUUGACGGUACCUAAUCAGAAAGCCACGGCUAACUACGUG